Molecule: ribosomal RNA, 490 nt
Filed under: uncultured bacterium
Lineage: Bacteria
Description: partial 16S ribosomal RNA
Rfam family: Bacterial small subunit ribosomal RNA
Source: RNAcentral
AUUGAACGCUGGCGGCAGGCCUAACACAUGCAAGUCGAACGGUAACAGGAAGAAGCUUGCUUCUUUGCUGACGAGUGGCGGACGGGUGAGUAAUGUCUGGGAAACUGCCUGAUGGAGGGGGAUAACUACUGGAAACGGUAGAUAAUACCGCAUAACGUCGCAAGACCAAAAAGGGGGACCUUCGGGCCUCUUGCCAUCGGAUGUGCCCAGAUGGGAUUAGCUAGUAGGUGGGGUAACGGCUCACCUAGGCGACGAUCCCUAGCUGGUCUGAGAGGAUGACCAGCCACACUGGAACUGAGACACGGUCCAGACUCCUACGGGAGGCAGCAGUGGGGAAUAUUGCACAAUGGGCGCAAGCCUGAUGCAGCCAUGCCGCGUGUAUGAAGAAGGCCUUCGGGUUGUAAAGUACUUUCAGCGGGGAGGAAGGGAGUAAAGUUAAUACCUUUGCUCAUUGACGUUACCCGCAGAAGAAGCACCGGCUAACUCCGUG